Molecule: ribosomal RNA, 392 nt
Filed under: uncultured bacterium
Lineage: Bacteria
Description: bacterial SSU rRNA
Rfam family: Bacterial small subunit ribosomal RNA
Source: RNAcentral
ACGGAAUAGAUACCCCGGUAGUCCAUGCCGUAAACUAUGGAUACUAGCUGUUGGGGGUAUCGACCCCUCCAGUAGCGAAAGCUAAACGCGUUAAGUAUCCCGCCUGUGGAGUACGAUCGCAAGAUUAAAACAUAAAGGAAUUGACGGGGACCCGCACAAGCGGUGGAGCGUGUUCUUUAAUUCGAUGCUAAACGAAGAACCUUACCAGGGCUUGACAUCCCUUGAAUUACUCCGAAAGGAGUGAGUGCUUUAUUGAGCAAGGCGACAGGUGAUGCAUGGCCGUCGUCAGCUCGUGUCGUGAGAUGUUUGGUUAAGUCCAUCAACGAGCGCAACCCUUAUACUUAGUUGUAUUUUUCUAGGUAGACUGCCCCGGUAACGGGGAGGAAGGGGGG